Molecule: long non-coding RNA, 604 nt
Organism: Stylophora pistillata
Lineage: Eukaryota; Metazoa; Cnidaria; Anthozoa; Scleractinia; Pocilloporidae
Source: RefSeq, a predicted model, not a curated record
CUUUCUCACUGAACCUAACGGAUCAUCGCAAUUGAAAAACCUCCAAUUGACAAGUCGGCUGUUGUCAGAGAAAUGCAAUUGAUGGUCUUGAGGUGACAAACUAAAGGAUAUUGGUCAAAAUUAGAAGCAUUCACCUCAAAGGUGCACGCAAAUAAAUUUCUUCCCUGAAAAUGAUCCACGCCUGGUUAAAGCCUUCAAAGGAUCAGUAUCAGUGUACAUGAAUUUAACUAAGAUAGAUGUAUAAGUAUAUUGUGAAAUUUAAGGCUCCUCAGUGCAUAUUGUUUAGAACUUUCCUCGCUCUCGUUACAAAUCACCUUAUUUGGGUAAGUGGUUAUGUUUAUAUCUACACGUAGCAAGACUCGAAUAAGUUGAGUAAUCAGCUUUUGAGCCUUUACGAAACAACUAUCAGUUUAGUCAAAUAAAGUGCGCACUUGAUAUUGCUGCAGUAACCGUUCAUCAAGGAGAAAGCCAAUACCGACGAAAAAGACGAAAAGGAGUGCAAGAGGGAAAAAGUAAGCUUGCGCCCGGAAAGCCCACUAGCGAAGCUAGAAAACCUGAGGAGGAGGUGGCGAGUGAAGACAUUCCAGGGCCCAGUGACAAAGGU